RNAcentral lists this unclassified non-coding RNA (125 nucleotides) under Starmerella meliponinorum. Its description in RNAcentral is "sequence contains ITS1". Lineage: Eukaryota; Fungi; Ascomycota; Dipodascomycetes; Dipodascales; Trichomonascaceae. The record is from RNAcentral.
GCUGGCGUGUGUUUUGGCAUUGCUUGGACGGAGUCCGCUCUGUCCAACUUCAAAACUUAUAUCAAUUUAUCUGAAAACUUGAAAAUUUAAAACUUUCAACAACGGAUCUCUUGGUUCUCACAUCG